RNAcentral lists this ribosomal RNA (548 nucleotides) under uncultured Glomeromycotina. RNAcentral's name for it is "SSU rRNA". It matches the Rfam family "Eukaryotic small subunit ribosomal RNA", at positions 548 to 1098 of the family's 1831-position model. Lineage: Eukaryota; Fungi; Glomeromycota. The record is from RNAcentral.
UUGGAGGGCAAGUCUGGUGCCAGCAGCCGCGGUAAUUCCAGCUCCAAUAGCGUAUAUUAAAGUUGUUGCAGUUAAAAAGCUCGUAGUUGAAUUUCGGGAUCAGAGUGUCGGUCGUGCCUCGGUACGCACUGGUAUUAUUGGUUCCUACCUUCUGAAGAACCGCGAUGUCAUUAAUUUGGUGUCGUGGGGAAUCAGGACUGUUACUUUGAAAAAAUUAGAGUGUUUAAAGCAGGCUUACGCUUGAAUACAUUAGCAUGGAAUAAUGAAAUAGGACGUUUGAUUCUAUUUUGUUGGUUUCUAGGAUUGACGUAAUGAUUAAUAGGGAUAGUUGGGGGCAUUAGUAUUCAAUUGUCAGAGGUGAAAUUCUUGGAUUUAUUGAAGACUAACUACUGCGAAAGCAUUUGCCAAGGAUGUUUUCAUUAAUCAAGAACGAAAGUUAGGGGAUCGAAGACGAUCAGAUACCGUCGUAGUCUUAACCGUAAACUAUGCCGACUAGGGAUCGGAUGAUGUUAAUUUUUUAAUGACUCAUUCGGCGCCUUACGGGAAAC